This 253-nucleotide ribosomal RNA is filed under the name uncultured bacterium. RNAcentral's name for it is "partial 16S ribosomal RNA". It matches the Rfam family "Bacterial small subunit ribosomal RNA", at positions 524 to 776 of the family's 1533-position model. The record is from RNAcentral.
UACAGAGGAUGCAAGCGUUAUCCGGAAUGAUUGGGCGUAAAGCGUCUGUAGGUGGCUUUUUAAGUCCGCCGUCAAAUCCCAGGGCUCAACUCUGGACAGGCGGUGGAAACUACCAAGCUGGAGUACGGUAGGGGCAGAGGGAAUUUCCGGUGGAGCGGUGAAAUGCGCAGAGAUCGGGAAGAACAUCGGUGGCGAAAGCGCUCUACUGGACCGCAACUGACACUGAGGGACGAAAGCUAGGGGAGCGAAUGGG